Molecule: ribosomal RNA, 238 nt
Filed under: uncultured bacterium
Lineage: Bacteria
Description: partial 16S ribosomal RNA
Rfam family: Bacterial small subunit ribosomal RNA
Source: RNAcentral
UGAGCAAUCUGCCCUUCUCUUCGGAAUAAGCGUUGGAAACGACGUCUAAUGCCGAAUACGACCUCCUUUCGCAUGAUCGGAGGUGGAAAGCUCCGGCGGAGAAGGAUGAGCUCGCGGCCUAUCAGCUAGUUGGUGUGGGUAAUGGCCCACAAGGCGACGACGGGUAGCCGGCCUGAGGAGGGUGACCGGCCACACGUGGGACUGAGACACGGCCCAGACCUCCGUACGGGAGGNAGCG